RNAcentral lists this ribosomal RNA (430 nucleotides) under uncultured bacterium. RNAcentral describes it as "bacterial SSU rRNA". It matches the Rfam family "Bacterial small subunit ribosomal RNA", at positions 355 to 776 of the family's 1533-position model. The record is from RNAcentral.
UGGGGAAUAUUGGACAAUGGGGGCAACCCUGAUCCAGCGAUGCCGCGUGUGCGAAGAAGGCCUGCGGGUUGUAAAGCACUUUAGUUGGGGAAGAAUGAGCGUAAUUCGAAUAGAGUUGCGCAGUGACGUUACCCAAAGAAUAAGCACCGGCUAACUCUGUGCCAGCAGCCGCGGUAAUACAGAGGGUGCGAGCGUUAAUCGGAAUUACUGGGCGUAAAGGGCGCGUAGGCGGUUAUAUAAGUUAGAUGUGAAAUCCCCGGGCUUAACCUGGGAAUGGCAUUUAAUACUGUAUGACUAGAGUAGAGUAGAGGGAAGUGGAAUUUCCGGUGUAGCGGUGAAAUGCGUAGAUAUCGGAAAGAACACCAGUGGCGAAGGCGGCUUCCUGGACUCAUACUGACGUUGAGGCGCGAAAGCGUGGGUAGCAAACAGG